Molecule: long non-coding RNA, 2776 nt
Organism: Cyprinus carpio carpio
Lineage: Eukaryota; Metazoa; Chordata; Actinopteri; Cypriniformes; Cyprinidae
Source: Ensembl
AUGGAUUUAUGGAGCAGAGAAACAGUAACACACGAUAUUUUUCCUCAUAACGGGGAGAAAAACGGGAGACGUGAAUUUUCUGCACAAAGAAAUGUACAGUUUGCACAAAAUUAUUCUCAUCAGAAAAAAAGAAUGGGGCAGAAAACUCAUUCUAACACACAGAAAAAAUCAAAAUACUCUCCUGCUUCUCCCACAUUUCGGAAUGUGAUCAAAAAUAUGUAUCAUCUGAUCCGAUCGGUCCAUCACCUCAGUAACAUCGACACACGUGUCGAGAAUAAUCAACCUGUCACUUUGAAGAGAUUAACUGAAUUACUGAAGAGCGUGAUAAAACCCUUUGCCCCCACAAUGUCCACAAAAGAAAUGCUGGAGGGCAAUGCAAGGAAUUGGGCAUUCACGACACAGUUGGUGUUACAGCAACACUAUGAGGACAUUAUACAGCACACAUUAGGGAUUUUACGAGGAGAAACACAGAGAACGGACUGGUUACAUGCCUUUGAGAUUGCUGUUAAAUGGGCUAUGCGAAAUUUCGGCAAGAGGAUCUCCCAGAGGGCAAUUCAGCAGGCCGAAACUUUGGUCCUGACCGAAUUGCGCUCUGGGACUCCCUCUGGGUCAAAAGGACCAUCAGCUUCUGGGGCAGAUAACAACAGAACAUUUGCUCAGGUGGUCAGUGGUGUAACUCCAGCCCCAGUCCAGCAGGGGACAGAAAUGAUCAGUACAGAGGUGGUCAGACCUAAAACAGGGGUCACACAUAUCCAGGUACAAACAUCACCCACUUUAAUGUCAGGCUGGUCUCCCAUGAGAAAUGACUGGCUUUUGGGAGAUGAUUUUCCACCUUUGAGCCCCCCUAUACAGGCCCCCGUACAGUCCCCUCGUGGGAAAAGGAAAGAGAAGAAAAAACACCUGACAGAGCAGAGCCAAAAAAAAAACCAUCAGUCGUUACAGAGCAUUCUGAAAAAAAUCUCCUAGUGGAUUUUGAGGACGAUGAUGAUGAUGAGGAUCAGUUGACUCCUGCACAGGGGAAUAGACUGGAAGAUUUAGAUGAGAUUACAAAUCAUCUGUCACAGGAACUUUUCUCUCCUCUUGCCCCUUCGGAAGCUGACGCCCCGAAGGCCACUGGCCUGCUUUCUUUGUUCCCCCAUGGUACCCAGUACAGUGCACACAGUAAAUCCACUAUUGGAUACAACUGAGAGGGCCCAGAUCCUCCAAAGCCCCUCUGUGUCACCAAAUCUUUCAGACUUUGACCUCUCAGUAUAUUCGUUGACAACUCUUCAACCAGAAGCUCCUCAGGAGGUAGAGAGCAGUGAAUCUUCCGAAAAAAUGGAAGAGAAUAUCUCUGAAACAGAUAAAUGCAGAAAAGCAGAAAAAAUCAGUAAAUCAGAUAAAUGCAGAAAAGCAGAAAAAAUCAGUAAAUCAGAUGAAACCACUGUAGCUGACAAUCAGGGUCAAAGGUCAACACAUAAGCCAUACAUGCACCUAAGCACCAACAAAAAAUUCAAUGAGUGGAAAUUAACACUCAAGGAAAAGCAUGUGAUUAUCGGUGACUCUAAUUUGGGCAGAAUCCCCACUUUUGACAUCCAAGAUUUACAGAUUGACAGCUUUCCAGGUGCUAAAUUACAGCACGCUGCCAACUUGAUAGAAAAAGCUACAGUAGGGACCAAGGUAGAAAAAAUAGUCUUGGCAUUUGGCUUGAAUAACCGCACACAAAGACUACGUAUUUCAGCCAUGAGAGAGUGUGCUAGAGUGAGUCAGGUGACACAAGAAAAACUACCGGAUGCCCAAGUGUGGAUCCCCCUGAUAAAUAUUCCUCAAUCUCUCCCAGAAGGAGAAAAAAUCUUUUUAGACGAACUGAACAAUUACAUAGAGGAAAAUUAUUCCUUCAUCCCCCUUCUGCCAGAGGAGCAGUUUCAGGUGGAAAGAGACGGCCUACACUGGACUGCAGAGACAGCCAGGAACAUGUUAGAGCACUGGACACGAUAUUUAAACUUGUAGUGAGUGAACACCCGAGAAAGGGUGCACACAGGCUUGUUGUGAAUCUUUCUAAGCAUUUUAGUAUCUCUCCCUCACAGUCAUCCCUUCUCAUGAAAGGCCUCACAUUUAUUCCAUCUGUCCAAAAAAUGAAAGAUUUCAAACAUCAGCUCAGAUUAGAUUUACAAAAAUAUCUCAUAGAAGAAUAAAAUUAGAGGUUUUUCUUUGAGGGCAAAAAAAGACUAAAAAAAACAAAGAUUAACUUUUUACGCACAACUCGGAUUGGACUCCGGCCUUGAGCAGACUUCCCAAACAAGUAGGCCAGCUGAUCACAGCUGAUGAGUACGCCUUUAAGAAUUUGAAUUGGAACUUGAAACCAAGGCCCAACCUCCAGAGAGAGGAACUGAGAGCCUUGAACACUCUUAAAAACCCCAGGGAAAUUGUUAUUAAACCUGCUGACAAGGGAAAUGCCAUCGUCAUCAUGGACAGAGAGCAGUAUGUCUGGGAGGGGGAGAGACAAUUAAACAUCAGUGACCACUAUAAACCCUUAGAAAAACCCAUUUAUUUGGAAACCAUGAAACAGAUUAGAAAAAUCUUAGAACAGAUGUAUGAUAGGGGUAUUAUCAACUCAAAACAGAGGGAAUAUUUAAGUGGCAGUGGCACUCCUAGAAUGAGAAGAUUUUAUUUAUUACCGAAGAUUCACAAGGAGCCCGAGAAAUGGAGUAUUCCACACGAGAUUCCACCCGGCAGACCCAUAGUGUCUGAUUGUAACAGUGAAACUUAUCAGACAGCUGAGUACAUCGAGUAUUUU